RNAcentral lists this ribosomal RNA (423 nucleotides) under uncultured Nitrosospira sp. RNAcentral's name for it is "bacterial SSU rRNA". It matches the Rfam family "Bacterial small subunit ribosomal RNA", at positions 207 to 622 of the family's 1533-position model. The record is from RNAcentral. Lineage: Bacteria; Pseudomonadati; Pseudomonadota; Betaproteobacteria; Nitrosomonadales; Nitrosomonadaceae.
CAAGACUUGCGCUUUUGGAGCGGCCGAUGUCUGAUUAGCUAGUUGGUGAGGUAAAGGCUUACCAAGGCGUCGAUCAGUAGCUGGUCUGAGAGGACGACCAGCCACACUGGGACUGAGACACGGCCCAGACUCCUACGGGAGGCAGCAGUGGGGAAUUUUGGACAAUGGGGGAAACCCUGAUCCAGCCAUGCCGCGUGAGUGAAGAAGGCCUUCGGGUUGUAAAGCUCUUUCAGCCGGAACGAAACGGUCACGGUUAAUACCCGUGACUACUGACGGUACCGGAAGAAGAAGCACCGGCUAACUACGUGCCAGCAGCCGCGGUAAUACGUAGGGUGCAAGCGUUAAUCGGAAUUACUGGGCGUAAAGCGUGCGCAGGCGGUUUUGUAAGUCAGAUGUGAAAUCCCCGGGCUUAACCUGGGAACU